GCCUAUUACGCCGAGCCAUCUCUGCAAAAACAGUAAGCAAAAGAUUAAAAAAGCAAAAUGCCAGCAGUAAUACAUAUUUAUCUUCAUAAAUUUUUAUUGUCUGCCAGAUAAUAAGGCAAAUACAGCAGAGUCAUUAUCCCAUGUUCGCAUCACCACUCUACCCAUAGUCCAAUCUUUCAAUUGACCUCUUUUAACAUUUGACCGUCUCCUUAACUAACAGUUGCAAAAUCAGUUUUUAAACACACCUAUAAACCCAUACCAAUUACACCAGUAAGAAAUCCACCGAAGUUAAAAUUUAAGGUAAUUACAGUAGUUGCACAACAAUUGCGUUUUGAUUUCCUAACUAUUAUCACAAUGAUGUAAAAGAACACUACAUCAAAAACAAUUUAACAAGAAAACGAAUUUUAGAUUAUUAUCCAGUAAUAGCUAUACUUUUAUAUUAUCCAAUUAAUAGUUACUACUAGUUACUCAUCUCACUUCUAUCCAAAGUUGAUGCAUUCAAUAAAAAAUUAAAAAAAAGAAGGGAUAAUGAUUUUUCCAAACCCACGGGUCAAGAUAUAUAAGCAAUUAACCAAAUAAUGAGCUAUUCAUGGUACAGAAAUCUGACCUACAGCUUCUUGGUUCCUCUG
This 629-nucleotide unclassified non-coding RNA is filed under the name Hevea brasiliensis (rubber tree). Lineage: Eukaryota; Viridiplantae; Streptophyta; Magnoliopsida; Malpighiales; Euphorbiaceae. The record is from RNAcentral.